Molecule: ribosomal RNA, 253 nt
Filed under: uncultured bacterium
Lineage: Bacteria
Description: partial 16S ribosomal RNA
Rfam family: Bacterial small subunit ribosomal RNA
Source: RNAcentral
UACAGAGGGGGCAAGCGUUAUUCGGAAUUAUUGGGCGUAAAGGGCGCGUAGGCGGUGCGGUAAGUCACCUGUGAAAACUCUGGGCUCAACUCAGAGCCUGCAGGCGAAACUGCCGUGCUUGAGUGUGGGAGAGGUGCGUGGAAUUCCCGGUGUAGCGGUGAAAUGCGUAGAUAUCAGGAGGAACACCGGUGGCGAAGGCGGCUCUCUGGACCACAACUGACGCUGAGGCGCGAAAGCUAGGGGAGCAAACAGG